Molecule: ribosomal RNA, 464 nt
Filed under: uncultured bacterium
Lineage: Bacteria
Description: partial 16S ribosomal RNA
Rfam family: Bacterial small subunit ribosomal RNA
Source: RNAcentral
CUACGGGGGGCAGCAGUGAGGAGUUUUGCGCAAUGGGGGAAACCCUGACGCAGCAACGCCGCGUGAGCGAAGAAGGCCUUCGGGUCGUAAAGCUCUGUCAAGUGGGAAAAACGUUUUCCGGUGAAUAGCCGGGAGAUCUGAUGGUACCAUUGAAGGAAGCACCGGCUAACUCCGUGCCAGCAGCCGCGGUAAUACGGAGGGUGCAAGCGUUGUUCGGAAUUAUUGGGCGUAAAGAGCGUGUAGGCGGUUUAGUAAGUCAGAUGUGAAAGCCCCGGGCUCAACCUGGGAAGUGCAUUUGAAACUGCUUUACUGGAGUAUGGGAGAGGAGAGUGGAAUUCCUGGUGUAGAGGUGAAAUUCGUAGAUAUCAGGAGGAACAUCUGUGGCGAAGGCGACUCUCUGGACCAAUACUGACGCUGAGACGCGAAAGCGUGGGUAGCAAACAGGAUUAGAUACCCUGGUAGUC